This 953-nucleotide ribosomal RNA is filed under the name uncultured bacterium. Its description in RNAcentral is "bacterial SSU rRNA". It matches the Rfam family "Bacterial small subunit ribosomal RNA", at positions 8 to 890 of the family's 1533-position model. The record is from RNAcentral.
AGAGUUUGAUCAUGGCUCAGGACGAACGCUGGCGGCGUGCCUAAUACAUGCAAGUCGAGCGCAGGAAGUUAUCUGAUCCUCUUUUAGAGGUGACGAUAAUGGAAUGAGCGGCGGACGGGUGAGUAACACGUAGGCAACCUGCCUGUAAGACUGGGAUAACUCGUGGAAACGCGAGCUAAUACCGGAUAACACUUUUCAUCUCCUGAUGAUAAGUUGAAAGGCGGCUUUUGCUGUCACUUACAGAUGGGCCUGCGGCGCAUUAGCUAGUUGGUAAGGUAAUGGCUUACCAAGGCGACGAUGCAUAGCCGACCUGAGAGGGUGAUCGGCCACACUGGGACUGAGACACGGCCCAGACUCCUACGGGAGGCAGCAGUAGGGAAUCUUCCGCAAUGGACGAAAGUCUGACGGAGCAACGCCGCGUGAGUGAUGAAGGUUUUCGGAUCGUAAAACUCUGUUGUUAGGGAAGAACAAGUGCCAUAGUAACUGAUGGCACCUUGACGGUACCUAACCAGAAAGCCACGGCUAACUACGUGCCAGCAGCCGCGGUAAUACGUAGGUGGCAAGCGUUGUCUGGAAUUAUUGGGCGUAAAGCGCUCGCAGGCGGUUCUUUAAGUCUGAUGUGAAAUCUUACGGCUCAACCGUAAACGUUGCAUUGGUAAACUGGGGGAACUUGAGUGCAGAAGAGGGAGAGUGGAAAUUCCACGUUGUUAGCGGGUGAAAUGCCGUAGAGAUUGUGGGAGGAACCACCCAGUGGUCGAAUGGCGACUCUCCUGGUCUGGUAACUUGACGCCUGAGGAGCGAAAGCGUGGGGAAGCGAACAGGGAUUAGAUAACCCUUGGUUAGUUCCACGCCGUUAAACCGAUGAGUUGCCUUAGGUGCUAGGGGGUUUUCCGCCCCCAUUAAGUGCUUGAGUUACACGCCAUUAAUGCACUCCGCCUGGAAGUACCGUCGCA